ACUCCGCGGUACGUUGGCGCAUUAAUACGAUCAUCGACCAAUAGCAUCGAUCGACAAAUCCUCUUCUGGCUUGUCUAAUGGAUUGGGAGAGAGAAGGGGGCUAACAGUUAACGACGAAGUAUCUCGUGAAGACCUUAAGAUCACUUUGAUCCUUUUUACGGUAAACGUCUAUGGCUGCUGUUAAUUUAUUACGUAUUAAUACGAUUGUGUAACGUUAAAUAAAAGAAGGAAAAGUGUUUAUUAUAAUUUAACGUCUUUAUUAUAAUUAAUUAUUUAAUUGUCGUGUAAUUGGUGUAAGUUAUACGAGAAGAAAGAAGAAUUUCUGAUUUCUCCGUCCAUUAAGUCCAUCGUUAUAUCAAAUAGAAAAUACGAAUUCAUUCUUUAUUAUAUUCUCUUUCCGCGCUGCGACCUCUCUCUCUCUCUCUCUAUCUCUAUCUUUCUCUUUCCACGUGUCGCAAUUAAAAAGAAAAGAAAGGAGAGAAAAAAAAGGAAGCAAUGAGAAAAGAACGAAGAAAAAAGAAAAUUAAAGAAAACAAAAAGAAAUAAAUCAGAGAGAUAUGGAAAAAAGUGGAAAGAAGAAUUACAUAGAUCGAUAAUCGAUGCGAUCUGCUUAACGUUUCAUAAUAGCCGAAAAGAAAUCAAGUAGGAGAAGAAGAAGAAGAAAGAGGAGGAGGAGGAGGAGGAGGAGGAAAAGAAGGAGGAGGAGGAGGACGAUAACAUGGAAAAGGAUGGCUAAUCGCGAACAAAGAGGUAUAUAGAUUGUUGACUCUGAAGACUAAGAAGAGAGAGAGAGAGAGGAGAACGUAGUAGCAUCCUUCAAAGUUUUCCCACGAUAACAAGAUUCCUUGCAUUUCGAAAAGCAACAUGAAAUCCCCAACGAUACUUUCGAAAGACAAUUCAUCACCCUAACGUCAUUUACGUUCAUCAAGGCCUUCGACCGAAGAGAGAGAAAGAGAGAGAGAGAGAGAGAGAGAGAGAGAGAGAGAGAGAGAGAGAGAGAGAGAGAGAGAGAGAAACCGCAUCGUGAGAAACGAGACCUAGUUCGAAACGCCAGCGGACGUGAGCUCAUUCUUCUUUCCCUGUUAAACUGGUAGGGUGCUGAAACAAGGCUUAGCUUGGACAUUAACGAUAAGUCAACACUCUCACGUUAAUGCUUUGGUUCUCGCCUAUAACAACUUGUACUUCAUUGGAAAUGCUAGGAAGUAUUAGAACGUGCCAACUAGAAGAAAAAUAUUUCUCUUUUUAUGAGAAUCGAUUCUACAAACUACAAAUUGUUGUGUACUUUGUCUAUUUUUUUUUAUUACUUAUCUCUCUCUCUUUCUCUCUCUCUCUCUCUUUCCCUCUAUCUAUCUAUCUAUCUAUCCAUUCAUUCGUGGUAAUAUACGUGGAAGAAAAGAAAAGAAAAGAAAAGAAAAAAAAAAAAAAGAAAAAACAAGAAGUUAAAAGAAGAAGAAAAUCUUGAAUAAUCAUUCUCGCUAAGUAAAAUACAUAGAUGAAUUUUUAUUAAGUUUAAAUAUUUAACAAUAGAAGUUUUCGUUAGAAGAUUUAAAUGUAACCAGCGAGAAAGACAAAUGGAAGUAAAUUUGUUUGUUUCGUUUUGUUUUGUUCCCAUCUUACCUAGUCUUAUUUAAAUAAGAAGAUACUAUGUAUAACCGUUGUAAAUGUAGAUAUGAGCUUACUUAUGUAUGUAUAUAUAUAUAUAUAUAUAUAUAUAUAUAUAUAUACGUAAUGGGGAAGCUACGGGCUUUAUAGAAAGCUCGGUGAAGUUCGUUAGGGGGCCCUUUGUCUCUUUGUCUCGUUGAAAGCUUAGAACUGUAAACAUUUAGGCGCACGUUACAUCGUCGGUGGACCUUGGCGAAACUUGGCAAGUGAAACAUCGUCGUAUUAAGAGUCAAGAACCAAAAACCACCACUUUCUAUUCUAUCUCGUCGUCGUUCUAUACCUUUUUAUUUUUUUCCUCUCUCUCUCUCUCUCUCUCUCUCUCUCUCUCUCUCUCUCUCUCUUUCUCUCUCUUCUCGGCUUUUCGUCCUUUUAAUAUGAAACGAGAAAAACCAUCUUUCACGCUUUUUCGCUUACUACUUAUUCCCUUUAUGAGGAUUUUAUGUACAUUGAAAACAAAAUGAGAGAAAAUUAAAUGUACAGCUAGCAUGUGUUUUAGAUAUUAACGAGGGAGAGAGAGAGAGAGAGAGAGAGAGAGAGAGAAAGGAAUAUAUUGUAUAAUAAGUUAAAUUUCAUAAUAAGUAUGAUAAUGAUGAAAAUUAAUGAUCAACGAAAAUUAUUAUAAUUUUUCUUAGGCGAUAUAUUAAUUAAUUAUAUACUUGGGACGUCUUUCCUUCUUUCUUUCUUUCUUUCUUUCUUUUUUUCUUUCUUUUUCUUUUUUUUUUUUUGCUCUUUGUAUUUAACGUUUGUUAAUCUUUAUCCCGAGCUAAGCUUUUAUUUUUCUUUUUCUAUUUCUUUUUCCUUUUCUUUUUUCUUUAUCCUUUUUUCUUACUUUUAUUUGCCCGACUUUGUAACUCGUUAGGGAAAGUUUAUCUUUUCUUUUUUUGUUAGACGCACAUUUGUGCAACUUAAUAUACAUAUAUAUUCGGUACUGUUGAAAUGAGUGGAAAGUUUUUUUUUCUUUUUUUUUUUUUUUUCCUUUUUUUUCCUCGAGUGUCGACGACUAGAAACAUAGUUUCUCGGAUGAAAGAAUCUUUUCAUUCGUAAACGAGUGAAGUUUUGUAAACAAAAAAGAAUUUGCAAAUUUUUUCAUUUGCAUCGUGAGAAAUGUUGGAAGAAAUGCUCUCGAUCGAUUCAAAGAAAAAGAGAGGGAGAGAGACAGAUACACACACACACACACAAAGAGAAAGAGAGAGAGAGAGAGAGAGAGAGAGAGAGAGAGAGAGAGAGAGAGAUAGAGAGAGAAAUUACGAGUUCUUGUACGUCGUAUGUUCACCCUUAGAAAUCCAAAUUUAUUUCUAAGCUGAUGUCCGGCCAACUUGAAAUUUAUUGGACGGUAUAUGUAAACCAGCAUACGCUCGCUUUGUUAAUAUAGGGCUUACGAAUGAUCGUUCCGAAUCAUUUAUGUCCUAUGUACACGUACAUAUAUACAAGGUGAGUCUAAUAAAUGGGAGGCUCAGACUAUAACUCUGUUUUUAUUGAGAAUAGAAAAAAAAAAGGGAAUAUUGGCAUCGGUUAACAAGUUCGUACAUCGUGUAGUUAGAUUUUUUUUAAUUUUUUCUUUUUUCUUUUUUCUUUUUUUUCUUUUUUCAUUGUUCUUUUUCACAGAAGCGUGCCAUCCAUCGGUGCAGAUGCAAAGUACAGUUGCAUUUAUUGUUUAAAGUGGAACCCUACGAUAUUUCUUUUUCUCCCUUUUUUUUUCUUUUCCACCUUUUUUUUUUUUUAAUGAAUUGAUUACUCGCGCCAUCCUGAAUAUAAAAAAAAAAAGUAUUCCGUAUAAAAAACAAAUUUUGCAGUAAACGAUGAUAGAGCUUUUUAAACGAUUCAAAACGAAAUUUCUUUUACAAUUUUUUUUUUUUCUAUCUUCAAUAAAACCAAAGCUAUAACUUUUCUAUCUUCAAUAGAAACAAAGCUUUUCCUAGAUUUAUUCCGUAUAUGUGUGUGGUAUGUGUGUGUGGUGUGUGUGUAUGUAUAUAUAUAUACAUAUACAUAUAUAUAUAGAGAGAGAGAGAAAGAGAAAGAGAAAGAGAGAGAGAGAGAGAGGGAGAGAGAUAAAGAGAAUGAAAUUAUAUUUACAAGAUGAAAAUAUAACAAUAACGUAGAUAAUAGAAUGUCAGAGUUAUUGUUUGAAUUAUUUUCGAUGUUAUUUUCUAAGAUUUAAAAAAAAUAAAGAAAAAAAGAAAAAAAAAAAGAAAAGGAAAAUGUAGAUAUCCGGAUAAAGUGAAAAUGAAGUGUGAGAUUUAUUUGGUUGGUUCGGUGCACAAAUGUAUCGAAUGAAUAAAAGCAUUGACCCAUAUAAAUCUUUAUAAAAGCGUGCCGUAUUACUUGUGGAUAUAUAAUCAAUGGACUCUGCGUUUCGACGCGUUCGUAUAUCGUUUAGACAACAUACAAUUUUUAAAGAGUUUGGAUCCUUUCAAAAAAAAAAAAAUAAAAAAAAAAAAAAGAAAAGAAAAGGAAAAGAAAAUACCAAAGAUAAAAAACUUCGAACGAAAGAUGAAACGAAAAAAGCCGUGUUCGAAACUUACUUUUGAAUGAUUGAAGAAUGGCUUCUUUAAAGAAGAAAGAAUAGUUCUUUAUUAUUUCGUUUCUUUUUUGUUUUUUUUUGUUUUUGUUUUUGUUUUUUUUGUUUUUUUUUUUUUUUUUUUUUUUUUUUUUUUUUUUUUUUUUUUUUU
This is a long non-coding RNA of Vespa crabro (European hornet), 4331 nucleotides long. RefSeq lists it as uncharacterized. The record is from RefSeq and is a predicted model, not a curated record. Lineage: Eukaryota; Metazoa; Arthropoda; Insecta; Hymenoptera; Vespidae. The transcript has 4 exons.